CCCUGAUCUCUCGGAAUUCGUUUUUUCAACUCCUUUCUGGAACCAGCAACAAACUCCAGGGCAUGAAGCACUUCAAUCGACCUUGGUCAAUGUAUUUCAUCAUAAUUGUAAAGAACUUAGACGAUUUUUUUGCAAUCGAUUCUGUUUCCAAACGCAAUCGAACUUAUGAUCAGUGACUGCACUCCAAAGUAUAGUUAUGGCUUAUCUUCGUGUGAGUUUCUAUGUUGUAGGUUGGAGCGAGAUGUUUGCUUACCUUUGAGAAACAUAUAUCUCAUCGCUGUCCUUCUAAUACACAUGUUUCUAGCGGGAUACGUAGGAUAGUUGUCAUAAUCCUGUAUGGCUUCUAUCGUUUCAGAAUUUUAUUUUGAGUAGUGUUCUUGUGCUUCUUCCAUAUGAUA
RNAcentral lists this long non-coding RNA (398 nucleotides) under Physcomitrium patens. Its description in RNAcentral is "long non-coding RNA (PPAT_LNC011069)". The record is from RNAcentral. Lineage: Eukaryota; Viridiplantae; Streptophyta; Bryopsida; Funariales; Funariaceae.